This 2188-nucleotide long non-coding RNA is filed under the name Homo sapiens (human). Its description in RNAcentral is "HSALNT0302894". The record is from RNAcentral. Lineage: Eukaryota; Metazoa; Chordata; Mammalia; Primates; Hominidae.
AGAAGCACUCUAGCUACAGAUUAGGUAGGUUGUGUGUGUGUUUUUUCCUUUGUGUAUAUUUGGGGGACUUUGAUUCCUGGGUUUGUGUUCGGCUAUUGGAAACUUUUCUAACCUAUCAUAAGCCCUGACCUAAGCAGCAAAUUUUCAUGCAAAUAGCAGCAUGGAAAGGAAGAACUGAGGUGUUCAACAGGCAAAUAAUGUAUUUCCAGUCUCUUUUAAAUGAUUUCUUACAAAUCUCUAGCAGGUUCUGGGCAUUUGUAACUGGUCCCUUGCAUUGUACCUUUAGGAUGUUUUUUAAAAUAGUGCUUAGCUUGCUUUUUAUAUUUUUAGUUUAUAAUAACACAUGAUCCUAAAAGGAAAAGCUAUCAUAAUCUUGUAAACUGAAAAAGUUAGCGAAUAAAGACUUUGAUAUUAAAAAUAUAGCCUAUAGCUUAUAUAUUAUAUAUGCAGAGCUCCAAUAAUUAGCACAUUCAACUGUUGAAUUCACCAUCACGGUUUCAUUAGUAUUGCAAGCUAAAAAUUUUAUCUACUAGUUAAGUAUAAAGAAAAUUCCAAAAUAAUAACCUCAUAAUGUAGCAUAGUAAGUGAUAGCAUAGACUUUAGAGCCAAACUGCUUGAGUUCCAAUCCUGGCAUUUAUUAGCUGUGUAAUUUUGGGCAAGUUACUUAAACUGUCUAUGACUUUAUUUCCCCUCUAUAGAAUGAUGACAAGAGUAAUACCUUCCUAGUGAAGAUGACUUUUAUUUCAGGACUAUAUUAAGUUUCCCAACUUCUGUCAUGAUAUAGUCCAAAGAGAACCUGGACCACGCAGACAUCAAACAGAACAUGACACUGACCCAUUCUAUCAGUGACGUUGUGCUGAUUGCACAGGACAGAUGAGAGGCUCGUAUACUAGAAGUCUUGAUGAAGAAAAAUUGUGCCCCAGCAAGGAUUAUACCCAGAGCCUCAUCCAUUCAUACCUGAUUUAGAUACUUAGAUGAUGAGUAAUAGAAAAGCAUCAUCUUUAUGUAAAUCACUGUACUUGGCUUCGUGAGAAAUAUAAAAAUGAAUUGCUUCAAUCCCUGGACUCAAGGAUCCUGUGUUACCAAGGUGGUUAUCAAACCUGGGUCAAAGUUGAAUCACCUGAGGAUCUUUUAGAACAUACACAGUCAUAUGAUACUUCAAAAUCUGUGAUUCCAUGAAGCCAAGAGUAGCUCUUCAACAGGAAAUGAAUGAGUGCUUCAGCUUCUGAUCCCAUUAGUAAGAAAAUACAGUCUUAUGAGCAAUGAUGGAGCUGCAUCUCUUAGGGGCAUUUGAUUCCCAAGAGACCAAAGAGCAAAGAGAAUGUCAAUUUAAAAAAAUCAAAUGUUUCCAUGACUUAGCUAUUUAACUGCUUUAAAAUGAAUGAAUGCUGCUUCAAGUUCUUUCAAAUACCCCACAUCUUGGCAACAACGAAAGGAAUUAACAUGAAGAAAAUUUACAAUCUUUCAUCACAUCGAACAAUGUCCCACAUUUGAAAAGUUCACAGCACAGAUUUCUGGUUACUGAAAGAAAGGAAAGACCUUCUUUGGAUUUGAAUAAACAGAUGGACUUUCUUCUCCUUUUUCUUAUAGUGCCCGAUUUGUGUAAAGGGAGGUGGGAAGAAAACAUCUUAGCUUAAAAGAGUGUCCUAUAAAAUAAAAGGUUUCAUACUUGCCUAUAGCUAAUCUCUGAAGGUGGUUACAAAAGAGGAUUUCUGAAACAUUUUAUAUGCAAUGGCCCAGACAUUUGCAUAAGUGGUCAAACUUUCAAGAUGACAACUUAAAAAUAUAAUACUCCUUUUGGACAAGCUUGUUUUUAAAAUAGCAGCAUCAUUAACUUUGGCAAAUCCAAUUCUUAAAUAUCCUUUAAAAUAGUUGAUAAAAGAAAGAAGGUAUCAGAACUAUAUAAUGGUUGCACUGCAUUUUUUAAAACCUCUUAUUUUGAAAUAAUUUUAGAAUCACAGAAAGUUGCAAAUAUAGUAUAAGGAGUCCCAUGUGCCCUACAUGAUGACAUCUUAUAAAGGGAUAGUAUAAUAUCAAAACCAAGAAAUUGACAUUGGCACAUUACUGUUAUUUUUUUAUUAUACUUUAAGUUUUAGAGUACGUGUGCACAACGUGCAGGUUUCUUACAUAUGCAUACAUGUGCCAUGCUGGUGUGCUGCACCCAUUAACUCGUCAUUUAAUAUUAGGU